This 346-nucleotide ribosomal RNA is filed under the name uncultured bacterium. RNAcentral's name for it is "partial 16S ribosomal RNA". It matches the Rfam family "Bacterial small subunit ribosomal RNA", at positions 338 to 681 of the family's 1533-position model. The record is from RNAcentral.
CCUACGGGAGGCAGCAGUGAGGAAUAUUGGUCAAUGGACGAGAGUCUGAACCAGCCAAGUAGCGUGAAGGAUGACUGCCCUAUGGGUUGUAAACUUCUUUUAUAUGGGAAUAAAAUGUUCCACGGGUGGGAUUUUGUAUGUACCAUAGGAAUAAGGAUCGGCUAACUCCGUGCCAGCAGCCGCGGUAAUACGGAGGAUCCGAGCGUUAUCCGGAUUUAGUGGGUUUAAAGGGAGCGUAGGUGGAUUGUUAAGUCAGUGGUGAAAGUUUGUGGCUCAACCUUAAAAUUGCAGUUGAAACUGGCAGUCUUGAGUACAUUAGAGGUGGGCGGAAUUCGUGGUGUAGCGG